RNAcentral lists this ribosomal RNA (448 nucleotides) under uncultured bacterium. RNAcentral describes it as "bacterial SSU rRNA". It matches the Rfam family "Bacterial small subunit ribosomal RNA", at positions 329 to 793 of the family's 1533-position model. The record is from RNAcentral.
CGCCAGACUCCACGGGAGGCAGCAGUGGGGAAUAUUGCACAAUGGGGGAAACCCUGAUGCAGCAACGCCGCGUGAGUGAAGAAGUAUUUCGGUGUGUAAAGCUCUAUCAGCAGGGAAGAGAAUGACGGUACCUGACUAAGAAGCCCCGGCUAACUACGUGCCAGCAGCCGCGGUAAUACGUAGGGGGCGAGCGUUAUCCGGAUUUACUGGGUGUAAAGGGAGCGUAGACGGUUCUGCAAGUCUGAAGUGAAAGCCCGUGGCUUAACCGCGGAACGGCUUUGGAAACUGUGGAACUGGAGUACUGGAGAGGCAAGCGGAAUUCCUAGUGUAGCGGUGAAAUGCGUAGAUAUUAGGAGGAACACCAGUGGCGAAGGCGGCUUGCUGGACAGUAACUGACGUUGAGGCUCGAAAGCGUGGGGAGCAAACAGGAUUAGAUACCCUCGUAUAA